Molecule: long non-coding RNA, 1455 nt
Filed under: Heterocephalus glaber (naked mole-rat)
Lineage: Eukaryota; Metazoa; Chordata; Mammalia; Rodentia; Bathyergidae
Description: lncRNA (ENSHGLG00100039281.1)
Source: RNAcentral
GAGAGCCUGCCCUUCAGCCCAAAGAAACGUCCAAGGCCUGGCCCACAGCAAAGAGACUGGACUUGGUCAUUCCAACCAGGCCCUAAAUUCCUCUUCUGCCUUUCACUGAAAAUAUCUUUCCUCCUCUGACAGUGGAGGGGUUUGAUGUCAUCUGGAAUGAACCCCUUCCCAGGCUGCCCCUGAUUUCCCUCCUCCCUUCUCCAUCUGCAGGAGGCCUCCCCAUCUCCUGGAUAGAAUGCCCAUCUGUCCCAUACUGACUUCAAGCAAAAGGUCUUCCCUGAAGCCCCAUCUCCCUUUGCACCUUGACCAGCACGCUCCCACUGCAGAGGUCGGUCUCUCUGCUCUUAGGAAGCUGACAAAUAGCUCUCAGAACCAAUCUCUGUGUAUGAACAGCCGGUGCUUCUGCUGCUGCCCUGGGGAAUAGACAAUACAACUCAACCGGGUCCUCAGUGCUUUCAGAAGCUGCUUUCAAGGAGCAGAGGAGAAGGUUCUACCUGGACUUCCUGAGCAGGGCUGGCCACAUCAGGGUGGCAGGGCCGUUGGUCAAGAGGCCAAAGGAAUGGCCACUGACCACCUUGGCCUGCACCAAUUGGCUUUGGGAUGUCCAGACCACACCAGCUUCAGAGUGUCAGCAGACCAAGGCAGACUCAGACAGAAGUAUUCCGAGCACAGGAAGUACUUCCAGUUCUAGAACCAGGAGCCAGGAGCAUGAUCUGAGGUGUAGAUCCCUGCAUCUCCUGGGAAUUCUCCAUUAUAAAAUGAGUCAUUCUUCUGUAGACAAGUUUGAUUAUUUCUGCUUCUUCUCCACCGAUUCUUUUGGAUUUCAAGUCUAGAUAUUGCCUUGAAUUCUGUAUUUCUAUGGCAGAAUGAAAGAAAACUGUAGAAUACUGAGCAUGAAUAGAACUUUGCAAAGAGUUUUUCUGGCUAUUAAGCUGGCAGAGUAGACAUUGGCAGCAAAUCUCCACUUCUCUGGGACUUGGAAUUGUGGCACCUUUAAAGCAACUACUUAGCAAGGAGAAAGAGAAGAAGAGCUCUGGGAACCAAGAAAUAACUGUCAGGAAAGCUAAAAAUCACAGAGAAACAAGACAAUGCAGAGAAAAGAAGGAAUCAAUCUGGACUGCUAAUCCUAGCUCCUGGGGAGCGAGAGCCUGACACCACAAACAAGGCCCAAACACUGUUUGACUAAGGUGGAGUCCCAGCACCUGCUGUGCAAUAUAAGGAAGAGCCUGAGGGGUGGAAGUCAGCAGUUGCUGGCACUGCAUUUGCCUCACAGUUGCUCCAGAGAGACUGUGCUGUCCGCCGUCCCCUCUGCCACCCUCCAUCCUGCAGACUCUUGGUGCCGAACCUGCAGGAGCAGCUCAGUCCCGGCUCAGCCUCUUGCAAGGACACUGCUGAGCAGCACUCCAUCAUAUGUACUUGUGCAGGACACAGGUAAGGUGUGAGUGGAGGUCGCUG